GACGAACGCUGGCGGCGUGCUUAACACAUGCAAGUCGAACGGAAAGGCCCUGCUUUUGUGGGGUGCUCGAGUGGCGAACGGGUGAGUAACACGUGAGUAACCUGCCCUUGACUUUGGGAUAACUUCAGGAAACUGGGGCUAAUACCGGAUAGGAGCUCCUGCUGCAUGUUGGGGGUUGGAAAGUUUCGGCGGUUGGGGAUGGACUCGCGGCUUAUCAGCUUGUUGGUGGGGUAGUGGCUUACCAAGGCUUUGACGGGUAGCCGGACUGAGAGGGUGACCGGCCACAGUGGGACUGAGAUACGGCCCGGACUGCUACGGGAGGCAGCAGUGGGGAAUAUUGCACGAUGGGCGGAAGCCUGAUGCAGCAACGCCGCGUGCGGGAUGACGGCCUUCGGGUUGUAAACCGCUUUCGCCUGUGACGAAGCGUGAGUGACGGUAAUGGGUAAAGAAGCACCGGCUAACUACGUG
This 468-nucleotide ribosomal RNA is filed under the name uncultured bacterium. RNAcentral describes it as "partial 16S ribosomal RNA". It matches the Rfam family "Bacterial small subunit ribosomal RNA", at positions 28 to 507 of the family's 1533-position model. The record is from RNAcentral.